Molecule: ribosomal RNA, 231 nt
Filed under: uncultured bacterium
Lineage: Bacteria
Description: partial 16S ribosomal RNA
Rfam family: Bacterial small subunit ribosomal RNA
Source: RNAcentral
CGGAAUUACUGGGCGUAAAGGGCUUGUAGGUGGCCAACUAAGUCAGACGUGAAAUCCCUCAGCUUAACUGGGGAACUGCGUCUGAUACUGGAUGGCUUGAGUUUGGGAGAGGGACGCGGAAUUCCAGGUGUAGCGGUGAAAUGCGUAGAUAUCUGGAGGAACACCGGUGGCGAAGGCGGCGUCCUGGACCAACACUGACACUGAAAAGCGAAAGCCAGGGGAGCAAACGGG